UGAAUUAUUGAUUUGGUGAUC
This 21-nucleotide non-coding RNA is filed under the name Caenorhabditis elegans. Lineage: Eukaryota; Metazoa; Nematoda; Chromadorea; Rhabditida; Rhabditidae. The record is from RNAcentral.